RNAcentral lists this ribosomal RNA (253 nucleotides) under uncultured bacterium. RNAcentral's name for it is "partial 16S ribosomal RNA". It matches the Rfam family "Bacterial small subunit ribosomal RNA", at positions 524 to 776 of the family's 1533-position model. The record is from RNAcentral.
CACGUAGGCACCAAGCGUUAUCCGGAUUUAUUGGGCGUAAAGAGCUCGUAGGCGGUUUGUCGCGUCGGAUGUGAAAACCCGGAGCUCAACUCCGGGCCUGCAGUCGAUACGGGCGGACUUGAGUGUUGCAGGGGAGACUGGAAUUCCUGGUGUAGCGGUGAAAUGCGCAGAUAUCAGGAGGAACACCGGUGGCGAAGGCGGGUCUCUGGGCAACUACUGACGCUGAGGAGCGAAAGCGUGGGGAGCGAACAGG